UGCAGUCGCACGAGAAAGGGACUUCGGUCCUGAGUACAGUGGCGCACGGGUGAGUAACACGUGAAUCAUCUACCUUCGAGUGGGGAAUAACUGAGAGAAAUCUUAGCUAAUACCGCAUAAUACCUACGGGUCAAAGCAGCAAUGCGCUUGAAGAGGAGUUCGCGGCAGAUUAGUUAGUUGGCGGGGUAAUGGCCCACCAAGACGAUGAUCUGUAUCCGGCCUGAGAGGGCGCACGGACACACUGGAACUGAAACACGGUCCAGACUCCUACGGGAGGCAGCAGUGGGGAAUUUUGCGCAAUGGGGGAAACCCUGACGCAGCAACGCCGCGUGGAGGAUGAAAUAUCUUGGUAUGUAAACUCCUUUCGAUGGGGAAGAUAAUGACGGUACCCAUAGAAGAAGCCCCGGCUAACUUCGUGCCAGCAGCCGCGGUAAUACGAGGGGGGCAAGCGUUGUUCGGAAUUAUUGGGCGUAAAGGGUGCGUAGGCGGUUUGACAAGUCUUAUGUGAAAUCUUCGGGUUCAACCCGAAGUCUGCAUGGGAAACUGUCGGGCUUGAGUAUGGGAGAGGUGAGUGGAAUUUCCGGUGUAGCGGUGAAAUGCGUAGAUAUCGGAAGGAACACCUGUGGCGAAAGCGGCUCACUGGACCAUAACUGACGCUGAUGCACGAAAGCUAGGGGAGCAAACAGGAUUAGAUACCCUGGUAGUCCUAGCCCUAAACGAUGAUUGUUUGAUGUGGGGGGUACCCAAUCCUCCCGUGUCGAAGCUAACGCGAUAAACAAUCCGCCUGGGGAGUACGGUCGCAAGGCUGAAACUCAAAGGAAUGACGGGGCCGCACAGCGGGUGGAGCAUGUGGUUUAAUUCGACGCACCGCGAAGAACCUACUGGGCUCGAAUGUACAGGAAUCCGGUAGAAAUAUCGGCGUCUCGCAA
RNAcentral lists this ribosomal RNA (929 nucleotides) under uncultured Acidobacterium sp. Its description in RNAcentral is "bacterial SSU rRNA". It matches the Rfam family "Bacterial small subunit ribosomal RNA", at positions 56 to 1022 of the family's 1533-position model. The record is from RNAcentral. Lineage: Bacteria; Pseudomonadati; Acidobacteriota; Terriglobia; Terriglobales; Acidobacteriaceae.